GCCUAGUUCGUCUAAUGGUAAGACAAGAGCUUCCAAACCUCUUGACGUGGGUUCGAUUCCUACACUGGGUG
Molecule: transfer RNA, 71 nt
Filed under: Synechococcus phage S-CRM01
Lineage: Duplodnaviria; Heunggongvirae; Uroviricota; Caudoviricetes; Pantevenvirales; Kyanoviridae
Rfam family: tRNA
About the family: Transfer RNA (tRNA) molecules are approximately 80 nucleotides in length. Their secondary structure includes four short double-helical elements and three loops (D, anti-codon, and T loops).
Source: Rfam by way of RNAcentral